UAUAAAAAUGAUCAAUUUAUUUCUCUUUCUAUAAUUUCAACAAUUAGUUACCAUAAAUCAUUAUUUGUAAUAUUAUGUAAAUUAUUUUGUAAGUGAUAUUAAUUGGUUAUAGGCUUACCUUUUCUUUUGAGAUCUAAUUAAAAUAAAUAAAAAUUAAAAAUCACCGACCAAUUAAAUUAUAACAAUUUUGUAAGAGUUCACCUAUGAUCAUCAUGUUAACAAAAAUCACUAAAGUGACUUCUUAAUUAAUAUAUAGUAGGAUUACAUCUAGUUGUUAUAUAUUUAUAAAAAAGUCUUUUAUUUUUGAAAAAAGUCAUCUAGAUGUGAUUAAGAAAGAGGAAGGUUAUACUCGGAAAAGAAAAGAAAAGAAAAAAGAAACUCAAUAGGUAAGUCAUAUGAAAAUAUAUGAACUUUAGUUACUUUUUUCUUUUUGAUCAAAGAACUUUAGUUACUUCUGAUUCUGUGUUUCAUUGUAAAACGAUGCACAUUUUGGGGUUGUAGCGAUCAGCGUUUCUCACUUUCAAACUAGCACAACUGGUGAUAUUACACUACUAAAAGGGACAUAUCCUGUGUCCAGAGAAUGCCACGGCAUCAAAAAUAUUCGCCCAAUCAGAACCAGUUAAUCAUCCACGUCAGACGGGCUUCUCGUGCUGAUCCGUCCAGAGUCGACCCUGUAAUAAGGUGUGCUUUUUUUGGGCUUUCUCUGUUCUAUUUUCGGUCCGGUUUGGACUCAGCUCGCAGGAAUCGAAGUCGAGGGAUAUGAUUCUCCUCGCCGCUUUCGCUUCGUCUUCUCAGAAAGAAACAGAUCGAAGAGCAAAGAAACUGAUAAUUGAUCGAGCAAUUUACUUUCGUUUUGAUCAAUCAAUACAUUCUUAAUGGUUCCGUUCCAUCUCCCUCAUCCUCUCCUUCUUUAUAUACUUAGAUUCUUUCCUCCAUCAAACCAAAACCCUAGAAUCACUCAAACCUCAAGCCAUGACGAUGAACGAAAUGGAAAGUCCCCCGUCUCCUCCGAUUCUGAUGAGAAAGUCGUGUUCUUCAAUGAUGUCUCUUUAGGCCCCCAUGAAUCUCAGUUGCGAUUCCGACUCAUCCACUUCUGGGAGGCUCGGAACCCGGUGAAGAAGACAGUCAUUGGUCUGGAGAUGCUCCUUAUCGACGAACAGGUCUGGAGAUUCCUUCUUUAGCGAUUUGUUUUUUCACACCGAUUCUUAUUUCAUUUUAUUUCGUGAUUCAUAUUGAAAAUCAUAUUUGUUCUUAUUUCUAUUGACAACAGGGAACUGUCGUUCAAGGAUUCAUCCCACCGGAAAGAAUUAAGAAGUUCUUGCCUGACAUGAAACGUGGAUCUGUUUACAAACUCAUCAACUUCUACGGAUCGAAAAACAAGCCGAUGUAUCGGGUUUCUGACCAUGUCGCAACCAUCUCUUUCACAUGGAACUCUGAACUGAUCAGGCUUCACGACAUUCCCAUCCAUUUCGAUGAAGACCGUUUCAGGUUUCAUUCAUAUGAAGAUUUCAAAGCAAAUUGUGAUCUCAGAGGUGACCUCUAUGGUAAGCUCUUUAAUCUUACCAGUAAUCUCUUUGUUAAAUUGCUUUAUGCUUUGGUGUGGGUUCCUUCUUGCUUAGUUUUCUGUGACGUAACUGGUUAAAGUUUUUAUAGUUUUGGUUUGUCUUGAUCAUUUCUGAAGUUACUAAUAAUAUAUACACAUGUUGAUAGUUCAAGUUAAAGAGUUUUUGGUCUGCUUUGAUCAUUCUGUGAAUCACACUACUAAAAGAACAACAUGUUAAUUAGUUUUAGGUCAUUCGGUUUAUAAAGUUAGAUCCCUAUAAUUUUUAUUAUCCAUCUAAUUUAUACUCUUUAUGAACAAUGUGUUAGAUGUCCUUGGCCACAUGAAGCUGGUCAAUGGACAGACUCUUACUGAGCGUCCAACCCUUGACGAAUUGGAGAUAGCUACCACUCGGCACAUUUUGGUUCAUGUGCAAUCGCAUGAGUAAGUGUUUUUUUUGUUUAUUUUCAAUUGACUAUCUCUCGGCAGUUUCUAAAUCUGUACGUGUUUUUUCAGCGGCCCUGUGAUGAAGCUCUACCUUUGGGACCAGGCUGCAACAGAGUUCUGCCAGAAAUUCAAAACCUUUGAAAACACUCCAACAGUGAUUUUGGUCACGACUGUUAACCCCAAACGUCUCGGAGGUACCCUUGCCCUCACCUCUAUGUCCUCCACACGGGUGUUCAUGGACAAUGAUGUCCAACCAACCAUAGAGUAUUUCACCUGGUAUGUACUCAUGUAUUCAGCAUCUAUUCUUCCAAAAUUGUUGUGAAGCGCACGCUUACAUCUAUUGCAGUUGAUGACUGAUAAAUGGUUUAUAUUUUGUAUCAGGCUCGGCUGUAACCCAGACACUGCUAAUCAGGUUAGUGCAGAGGUGGUAACUAAGCGUGAGACGCUGUCUAUAGCGGACAUAUUCUCCUACAUCAAAAAGGACUCUGCAAAGGUAACAUUCAAGCUAAUAUUUCUUACUUAUUAUGAAAGCACCAAUGUUUAUAUGAAAUGCUUAUACACUGUCGCAGGAUGCCUUUUUUGAAUGCACGGCUACAAUUGAUGAUGUUGUUCAUGGCUCUGCUUGGUACUACAUUGCAUGCAGUGGGUGCCAUUCUACGAAAGGCCCAACAUCGAUGGUUUGUACAAACACAAAGUGUGAGAAGGUUAACACAACUGGUGUUGCACAGUAUGUAGUCUCCUCUGAAUAUUUAAAUACACUUUCACUGGUAUUUGCUUCUGUUUAUUACAUUUGUAACUUUUGCUUCUAAUUCUUUCUUCACAGGUACCGUGCAAAGAUAUCUGUUUAUGACAACAGUGAGCAAGCUGUUUUUGUCUUGCUUGGUGAUGCUGGUCGUUCUUUAACUGGGAAGCACGCAUCGGAGUUGCUGAGCAGCUACUUUGAGGCCAAUGGGGACAAAGGAGCUGAGGAUGAGGUGCCUGUCCCAGAAUCUCUAAUCAGCAUCAUCGGACAAACGCAUAGGUUUUGUGUGAAAGUGACUGAUCACAACUUCUCAGGCAACACCCGAGCUAUAACAGUCACCAAGGUCCUCUCUCAAGACAUCCCUCCACACACAGAAGCAUCGGUUGGAAACAACAAUGCUGCAUCACCCAAGGUAAUGAUGCUGACCAGAGACGAAGUGUCCGAACCCUCCAAAAGCCGUGGAGAUUGUGCAAAUGAAGAGAGUAAGAGGGGGUAUGACACUGCUGAUCCAGAGAAGGCUAAACGCCCAAGAUGUGAGAAUUAGAGCUUUGUUCAUCUUCUCAGAUGUUGCAAGGUCCACUAAAUUUCAAGUCUUUGCUUUUCAGUUUCAGAAUUGUUUUCUGGUUUCCUUUCAGUUUCUACAUUUCAGAGUUUUUUGCUUGCAGACAGUUUAAGAAUUGAUUUCUGGUUUCCAAAUAAUUAUGUUUUUAA
Molecule: long non-coding RNA, 3440 nt
Organism: Brassica napus (rape)
Lineage: Eukaryota; Viridiplantae; Streptophyta; Magnoliopsida; Brassicales; Brassicaceae
Exons: 3
Source: RefSeq, a predicted model, not a curated record